Molecule: ribosomal RNA, 1037 nt
Filed under: uncultured rumen bacterium
Lineage: Bacteria
Description: bacterial SSU rRNA
Rfam family: Bacterial small subunit ribosomal RNA
Source: RNAcentral
AGAGUUUGAUCAUGGCUCAGGAUGAACGCUAGCUACAGGCUUAACACAUGCAAGUCGAGGGGCAGCAGGACGAUAGCUUGCUAUUGUUGCUGGCGACCGGCGCACGGGUGAGUAACGCGUAUCCAACCUUCCCCAUAGUAGAGGAUAGCCCGGCGAAAGUCGGAUUAAUACUCUAUGUUGUACAACGAGGACAUCUGAAUUGUACCAAAGAUUCAUCGCUAUGGGAUGGGGAUGCGUCUGAUUAGCUUGUCGGCGGGGUAACGGCCCACCGAGGCAACGAUCAGUAGGGGUUCUGAGAGGAAGGUCCCCCACAUUGGUACUGAGACACGGACCAAACUCCUACGGGAGGCAGCAGUGAGGAAUAUUGGUCAAUGGACGAGAGUCUGAACCAGCCAAGUAGCGUGCAGGAUGACUGCCCUAUGGGUUGUAAACUGCUUUUAUGCGGGAAUAAAGUCAGGUACGCGUACCUGUUUGUAUGUACCGCAUGAAUAAGGACCGGCUAAUUCCGUGCCAGCAGCCGCGGUAAUACGGAAGGUCCGGGCGUUAUCCGGAUUUAUUGGGUUUAAAGGGAGCGCAGGCGGAAGGUUAAGCGUGACGUGAAAUGUACCGGCUCAACCGGUGAUGUGCGUCGCGAACUGGCUUUCUUGAGUGAGUACGACGCUGGCGGAAUUCGUGGUGUAGCGGUGAAAUGCUUAGAUAUCACGAAGAACUCCGAUUGCGAAGGCAGCCGGCGAGUCCUCAACUGACGCUAAUGCUCGAAAGUGCGGGUAUCGAACAGGAUUAGAUACCCUGGUAGUCCGCACGGUAAACGAUGGAUGCCCGCUGUUGGCGAUACAUUGUCAGCGGCCAAGCGAAAGCGUUAAGCAUCCCACCUGGGGAGUACGCCGGCAACGGUGAAACUCAAAGGAAUUGACGGGGGCCCGCACAAGCGGAGGAACAUGUGGUUUAAUUCGAUGAUACGCGAGGAACCUUACCCGGGCUUGAACUGCAGCAGAACGAUAGAGAGAUCUUGAGGCCCUUCGGGGCUGCUGUGAGUG